This is a long non-coding RNA of Peromyscus leucopus (white-footed mouse), 3696 nucleotides long. RefSeq lists it as uncharacterized. The transcript is spliced from 2 exons. Lineage: Eukaryota; Metazoa; Chordata; Mammalia; Rodentia; Cricetidae. The record is from RefSeq and is a predicted model, not a curated record.
CCUCUGCAUCAUCCCAAGUACUGGAAUUAAAGGUAUGCAUCAUCACCACCCAGAGAGACACACCAUUUUAUGUUGUAGCUUUUAGUCAAUUCCCUGCUUUUGCACUAAUUUUUCCAACAUGACUUCUAGAUUCUCCUACACUUUUUUAAGGGGUCUUAAAAAUUCAGGUUGCGCCCAACGCUUACUUUUGACAUAGAAGAGUAGCAUGGUGACUCUUUCUGGAUUUGGAAGUACAUAGGAAACACAUCUGCAAGAGGAUGGUUGAGGGCUUCCAGAGAGGUUUAACUGAAGAGGGGAGCACCGUCCUUAACGAGUGAAGCACCAACUCAUAAACUGGAGUCCUGUAAUGAAUAGUGAGUUCGAGGCCAGCCUGCUAUACAAAAUGAGUUCCAGGACAGCCAGGACUGUUACCCAGAGAAACUCUGUCUUGAAAAACAAACAAGAAAGGGGCCCGGGGAGCCAUCUGAGCAUUCCUCUCUCUGCCUCCUGACUGUGGACACAGGCCACCAGGUACCUCCAGCUCCUGUUGCCUCCAGCAAAAGCCGAUCUUGAUCUGUCAAGCCAACAAUCUUGAUCUGUCGCCAGGCCUUUCCUACCGUGCAGCUCUCUUCCCUCCAGAUGAAUGAAGAUAAAGCCUUCCAUCCCUAAAUCGGUUUGCCGGGUAUUUUGUCCUGAAAGCAGCUAAUGCAGAGGUGUAGUAAGCCGCCCUGGUGAAUUCUUCCCUCUAACGCGUCAGGUAAGCCCGCUGUCAUUUCGGUCUCCAUUCUCACGUUUAUCACUGAAGGACAGUGAGAGAUGCCGGUAAAUACCCUAACUGGAAAAUGGUUCUUGCCAUUUCCCUUUCACGCCCCUAAGAACUUGCGGAAAGAGCGGAGCAAGCUUUCUCAGUUUACCCGCGAUGCCCUGUAGUUCUCAAACUCUGCCAGAAGAUGGCGGUAGGAACCAACGACAAAAUCCUUUUGCUCGUCUCCUCAGCUUCUCAUUGUCCGGUGGACACUUCCUGCAUCUAAUCUGAUGCUUAUGAAAACUAUUUCCUCCUUUCAAAAGCACAAGCCCAAACAGAAACUAACCUCGCCCUGCAGAUCGAGGAUGUUUGUGCCGUUCCAACUGUCGAACCCUCCCAGCUACGGCUUUAACUGUCAAGUAUUUUCCCAGCAGCUACAUGUCCGUUCCAGGAAGCAAAGUGAGAAAAGACUGUGGACUUCCUCUGGGCUGGUGGGAAGGAAGGAAGCAGCUGGAGCACCCGAGGGCCUUGGCUUUGGGAUUUGGAAAAGCAGUUGAAGCUCUGGAAACUCCAUUUCCUCGUUUCCUUGCGUGUUAAUUAGAGAUGGCAGUCCUGACUGGCAAACUGUCGGGAGGCAGAGCAGACUGGCCACCAAAUGAUGUUCAAGCCAGAUAGUUAGAAGACAGAUAAUUGUACUGGUAAUUUUUGAAGAUCAGACUUAGAAAAAAAAUUGUCAGUAACAAUACAAAGAAUCCCUAUAUACCUUUUACAGGAUCUCCGAACAUUAAGUUACAACAAAAGCAUGCUGCAAUGACCAAAAUCAGAAAAUAACCGUCUAGGGCUCUUAUAUUACCUAACCCUCAGCCCUCAUUCAAAUGUUACUAAGUGUCCUUUCUGGCUCAGGGUGAAACAAUGAAUCUAUUGUCUGGAUCUCUCCAGUCCUCUUGAACUUGAAGUUGCUGGGUCCUUUUUGCUCAUGACCUUGACACUCCUGAAGACUUUUGUAAACUGUGUUGUAGUUCAGGUGUAUCUGAUGCUUCCUCUUGAUCAAAUGCAAGUCAGGCUACUUUGUGUGGAAUCCAACAGGGGUGAGGCUCCAGCACAUAACAUCCAAAGGCUCUUGCUGUUGACUUAUGCAUUAUAGGAUGGUGCCCAGAAGGUCCUCAGCCAUAAUGUUACAGACUGUGUAAGUACCCUGAUCCUCAGCAUACCUCUGCCCUCUCAUAUUAGCACAUUUAUAGUCUCCACCUGAAAUAGCUAUUGCCAUGGUAUUUACCAAAUGCCAUAGAGAUUUGUACCUGAAAAAUACAUUCUAUUGAUUUUGGGAUGCAGUUAUCUGGAGAGGGGUGUGUGUGUGUGUGUGUGUGUGUGUGUGUGUGUGUGUGUGUGUGUGUAGGCUUUGCAUAGGCUAGACAAGUGGGCUGUCACCAAGCUACAUCCCCAGACUUUCUGAUUUCUUUAUAAUGUAAGUGGAGAAUAUUGGGCCUCCCAGACUCUCGCUUCCAUUUUGUGCUUUUAUUAUUUUACAAAAUGUUUUAUUUCGUGUUUUAAUAGGUCUUGUAGGAAACUGAGAGAUUAUCCAAAUUAUAGUGCCGAUUUGAAAACUCAUUGGACACUAAUUUAAGCCCUAAGUCUAUUCCAUCACCACUAAUACUAGCACACACACACACACAGAGAGAGAGAGAGAGAGAGAAACACUCAUGUGCACAUAUGCACACACCACACAGACACAUCAAUGCACCCAUGCACAGAAGCAGCAUCCCUCCCCUAACCCAGAAUCUGUCCCCCAUCCUACACACCUUUGCUAAAACUCGCUGUCUUACUAAGACUACUUUGCUUCAGCCAAGAAUUACUGAGAGACCCUUUUCUCUCUGCAUGAAAGAAAAUGCAUCAGAGAACCCCUGGGGUUCAGCUUCUCAAAUUCAGCUCCUGGGGGUGGCCUGGCCAAUUCCAGGCUCCCCCUGAGCAAGCCUUUCCUUUUAUUGUAAUGAGAGAAAGGUCACCUGCUGGCUUGGAUAAGCAUCCCUAAGGAGUGUUGGCUUCCUUGGCACCAGGAGCCACAGGUUUAAGGGAAGGAUGAAACAACAUUUCAACUGGCGGGUAGAAAGGGGGCCCUGCCCAGGUCAGGAGGAAGGUGGGAACUCACAUAAUGAAAAGCCGCUGGUGAUAGACACCAAUUUCACACCUAUUACCCAGGGGAAUGACCUCAAACCAGUCCCGGGUGUCAUUUGCAAGUGAAUUAGGUGUGCCACUUAGCAAGCCGUGCAGAGGGGUGGCCUGGCUCCUACCCUGAAGUCUCAUGGGAACUUGUACGAUUUUCCAAAUCCAAGUCAGAGUGUGUCUGCCUUUACCUAACCCUGUUCCUAAUGCCUUCACAGGCUCCGUGAAGCUGGAACAGACCAGGUGCACCCACUGUGUGAAACCUCCAAAGUUCUAAAAGGCCCAGGCAUCCAGGUGCAAACCAGAUUCCUUUCAUAACACAUGUGCAGGUCCGGCCUUAUGCACCUUGCACUCUAAAGUAGGUGUGGAAUGUGUGUUCUUAGAACGAUGAGACUCAGGGUAGGUGUGUUCCCAGGACCCCUUCAAGAGCCAGGGGAAAGAGUCCCUGUGCUAGCAGGAAAGUUUUGUACAUUUGGGGAAACUGAGCCUCAUCCAGAGUGGCUAAACAACUAACUGAUGGGGAAGAGACGGAAGAUACAAAGAAGCCCCAUCUAACGCCAAGGAUAACGGAUGCUGUGUAAAGGGUCCUGGUGUGUAUCCACGGUACACAGUGCUGGCUUUCACGGGGAUGUCACCAUAAAAGUAUGUUCUGUACCUUGGCCAUGUCCCUGUGUACCACUGUCUUCCUCCACUUCUCCACUCCUUUCUACCGCUGCCCCCCUUCCUGACCCAGCCAGCUUUGCUUCUACUUCAUGUAAUAUAUGCGUUCACGAUUGUGUCUAGUGCUAUAAAGUCUGUCUUUCUGAGCAUAA